AUCUCUCAUCUCGACCUCCACAAGCUUUCAAACAACUUUGCCAACAUGUCAGGGUACGAUGAUGUUCCAAAGCUCUUGGCGUCGAUAUAUUUGCUCAAGGAUGUCUUUGACGAGUACGCUGGAAAAGGUGGAAACCCACAGACUUUGACCAAGAGAGAACUCUCUAAGAUGCUCCGCAAAGAGCUUCGUUUGAAUGUCUCAGACUGCCCUGAGGCAGAAGAAUACUUCAACCGACUGGAUGCCAGCGGUGAUGGUACUGUUGAUUUCGAGGAAUAUGUCACUCUGGUGGGAGGACUUGCUUUGAUCUUAAACGAGAUGUACAAUCGAAAGUAAUCCAUGUAACACUACAGUCACAUGUAUAAAAUAUGUUUCAUCAUCAUAUGCUCUGACAAGGAAAACAUGCUUAAUAAACACACACAGAUGAAGAGAUGUCAGAAGUGAUUAACAAAGAAGCAAAAAUAAAUGUUGCCUCCUUU
Epinephelus fuscoguttatus (brown-marbled grouper) is the source of this 476-nucleotide long non-coding RNA. RefSeq lists it as uncharacterized. The transcript is spliced from 3 exons. NCBI's taxonomy places the organism in Eukaryota, Metazoa, Chordata, Actinopteri, Perciformes, Serranidae. The record is from RefSeq and is a predicted model, not a curated record.